GCCUCCUUAGCACAGCAGGCAGCGCGUCAGUCUCAUAAUCUGAAGGUCCUGAGUUCGUACCUCAGAGGGGGCA
RNAcentral lists this transfer RNA (73 nucleotides) under Macaca mulatta (Rhesus monkey). RNAcentral's name for it is "tRNA-Met (CAT) (tRNA-Met-CAT-6-1)". It matches the Rfam family "tRNA". From Rfam's summary of the family: Transfer RNA (tRNA) molecules are approximately 80 nucleotides in length. The record is from Rfam by way of RNAcentral. Lineage: Eukaryota; Metazoa; Chordata; Mammalia; Primates; Cercopithecidae. RNAcentral also lists the same sequence under 1 other name.